CCUACGGGAGGCAGCAGUGGGGAAUAUUGGACAAUGGGCGAAAGCCUGAUCCAGCAAUGCCGCGUGAGUGAUGAAGGCCUUAGGGUUGUAAAGCUCUUUUACCCGGGAUGAUAAUGACAGUACCGGGAGAAUAAGCUCCGGCUAACUCCGUGCCAGCAGCCGCGGUAAUACGGAGGGAGCUAGCGUUAUUCGGAAUUACUGGGCGUAAAGCGCACGUAGGCGGCUUUGUAAGUAAGAGGUGAAAGCCUGGUGCUCAACACCAGAACUGCCUUUUAGACUGCAUCGCUUGAAUCCAGGAGAGGUGAGUGGAAUUCCGAGUGUAGAGGUAGAAAUUCGUAGAUAUUCGGAAGAACACCAGUGGCGAAGGCGGCUCACUGGACUGGUAUUGACGCUGAGGUGCGAAAGCGUGGGGAGCAAACAGGAAUUAGAUACCCUGGUAGUCCACGCCGUAAACGAUGAUAACUAGCUGGUCGGGGCUCUUAGAGCUUCGGUGGCGCNGCACGCAUUAAUUAUCCGCCGNGGNGGACGGCGCGAAGUAAACUACAAUAGAUAGAGCGNGAGNGNGCGACGACGACGACGAGGGAGAGG
This 588-nucleotide ribosomal RNA is filed under the name uncultured bacterium. RNAcentral describes it as "bacterial SSU rRNA". The stretch from base 1 to 518 matches the Rfam family "Bacterial small subunit ribosomal RNA", at positions 338 to 873 of the family's 1533-position model. The record is from RNAcentral.